GGAGUUAGCCGGUGCUUCUUCUGUGAGUGAUGUCCUUCCUGCCGGCUAUUAACCCGCAGGCCUUCUUCCUCACUGAAAGUGCUUUACAACCCGAAGGCCUUCUUCACACACGCGGCAUGGCUGGAUCAGGGUUGCCCCCAUUGUCCAAUAUUCCCCACUGCUGCCUCCCGUAGGAGUCUGGGCCGUGUCUCAGUCCCAGUGUGGCUGAUCAUCCUCUCAGACCAGCUACGGAUCGUCGCCUUGGUGAGCCGUUACCUCACCAACCAGCUAAUCCGACAUAGGCUCAUCCGAUAGCGCGAGGCCCGAAGGUCCCCCGCUUUCCCCCGUAGGGCGUAUGCGGUAUUAGCCUGGGUUUCCCCAGGUUAUCCCCCACUACCGGGCAGAUUCCUAUGCAUUACUCACCCGUCCGCCGCUCGCCACCAGGGAGCAAGCUCCCCGUGCUGCCGCUCGACUUGCAUGUGUAGCUCGCCGCCACGCGUCAUCUGAGCCAUAAUACAACUACUGA
Molecule: ribosomal RNA, 505 nt
Filed under: uncultured bacterium
Lineage: Bacteria
Description: partial 16S ribosomal RNA
Source: RNAcentral